CCUAGAUCUAACUAUUACAUCUAACAAUAUGAUCAAGACAGGUUAAAAAUAAUUACCAAACCAAUUAGAUCUUGAUCUUUCUCUAGUCCAACACAUGGAGAAGAUAUUCCUUAGAUUACUUACAGCCACGCAAAGUCAUCUGGACUCUAUAAGAAAUCCACACGAAAACUGGUGCAGAUCAGGGGCUUGGAGGUGCUAGCCUGCAAGCAACUUCGAUGGCUGAUUUCUUCCUUCUUCUUUAAAUACCUUGGAUACUCCAAAGGAUAAAGAGAUUUGGAGGAAGAAGAGAGGAAGAGGAGAGGAGCUCUAGAAAAUCAAAAACCAGCAAAGGAAAUUGAUGCAUGAUG
This 347-nucleotide long non-coding RNA is filed under the name Elaeis guineensis (African oil palm). Its description in RNAcentral is "long non-coding RNA (EGUI_LNC075429)". Lineage: Eukaryota; Viridiplantae; Streptophyta; Magnoliopsida; Arecales; Arecaceae. The record is from RNAcentral.